GAGUUUGAUCAUGGCUCAGGAUGAACGCUAGCGGCAGGCUUAACACAUGCAAGUCGAGGGGUAGUUACUUUCGGGUAAUGAGACCGGCGCACGGGUGCGUAACGCGUAUGCAAUCUACCUUUUACAGGGGAAUAGCCCAGAGAAAUUUGGAUUAAUGCCCCAUGGUAUUAUAGAGUGGCAUCACUUUAUAAUUAAAGUUCCAACGGUAAAAGAUGAGCAUGCGUCCCAUUAGUUAGUUGGUAAGGUAACGGCUUACCAAGACGAUGAUGGGUAGGGGUCCUGAGAGGGAGAUCCCCCACACUGGUACUGAGACACGGACCAGACUCCUACGGGAG
RNAcentral lists this ribosomal RNA (335 nucleotides) under uncultured bacterium. RNAcentral's name for it is "bacterial SSU rRNA". It matches the Rfam family "Bacterial small subunit ribosomal RNA", at positions 9 to 347 of the family's 1533-position model. The record is from RNAcentral.